UGGAGAUCGAUCGUAAUAGUUGCUUGUGAUUGGAAGCCUUUUGUUGGUGGUAUUAACUUUGUCUGAUGUCUCCUGGAUUAGCCUCUAUGCCCGUCUUCAAGGCAUGGAGAUUGCUAUAUAGAAUGUGGCUCAUCCACCCUUGGCUUUGGAGGUGUCACACGACAUUCUCCUUUCUAAGGCCGUGGAAUGAGGGCAUAUCUUGAUAUUGUCGCAAAUGUGGCUCCUUCGAAAUCGGGUCCUGGUGCCGUGGCGCCUUUGCUCGAGUUGUGAUUUAUCCAAGCGGAUAUUGCCUUCAUCUUCUGUGCGACUUUGGUGCUUUCUCCUCCUGUCAUAUGAAAUGUGUGACUGUGGUGGGGUGAGAUCAUGGUUGCGUUGAGGACGUGCUACCUGGUUGAUCCUGCCAGUAGUCAUAUGGCUUGUCUA
This 423-nucleotide unclassified non-coding RNA is filed under the name Maxillaria magliana. Its description in RNAcentral is "partial external transcribed spacer". Lineage: Eukaryota; Viridiplantae; Streptophyta; Magnoliopsida; Asparagales; Orchidaceae. The record is from RNAcentral.